RNAcentral lists this long non-coding RNA (1718 nucleotides) under Brassica napus (rape). RNAcentral describes it as "long non-coding RNA (BNAP_LNC001894)". The record is from RNAcentral. Lineage: Eukaryota; Viridiplantae; Streptophyta; Magnoliopsida; Brassicales; Brassicaceae.
GCCCGAGUCGGGCUCCUCUUGGCCCGUUAUGAUUCGAAGCUGCGUCGUUUUGCCCGCGCCGUUGACGCCGACCAAGCCUACUUUCUCGCCGCGCUUCACCUCCCAGGAGACGUCUUUGAGGACGGUUAGGCCUUUGUAGGUUUUGCUUAUGUUCUCGAGCUUGACGCCGGAGGAGACGCCGGAGGAGGAGUUUUUUCCGUUGUUUCGUUUGCGGUCGGAGUCUUGUUGGGACGUUGGGGUGGAGAAGAGUGAUUCGACGUCGUUUUGUUGCUCUUUUACGGGGGCGAUUGUGGAGAGUUGGGAUGAUCUGAUUGUGGCGGAGGUUUCGCGCCUAGGGGUUGGAAAGGAGGAGACUUUGAUGAAGUUUGGAGAUGGGCGGAGGCCGCCGGGGAAGAGAGUGGAGCGGAGGUUGAUGGUGUGGAGGUUCGUGGAUAAACCCAUGAUUGAAAGUUUGGAUCUCGGGAGAGAAUCUUGCUCUACUGAAUCGAGAUGGAGCAGAGGAAGAAACUCUCUGGGCGAGCGAGAGAGAGAGAGUGUGGUUUGAUAAGAGGUUUCUUCUAUCUAAAUGGUUCUGUGUGAGCCAAGAGAUAUUUUAUUUUAUUGUAUUCGUUUAAUUAGAUUUAUUUUGUGUGGUUUGUUUUUGGUUUGCGUAUUUCUUUUGUUCCUUUUUCUUUCUAUAUAUUCCAAAUAUACAUAUCAUUAUCAUAAAUAUAAAAUUAAUGUUGUCAAAAAAACUAAUAGAAAAUAUAUAGCAAAACCUAUAAUUAAAAAGAUUUAGCAUCCUAAGACUAUCUCAUUAUUUUUUUUUAAAUAGAAUAAUUCUAUUUUCUACUCUAAAAUAUUAACUGUAUAACAGAUUUAAAUUACACUUCAAUAGUAUUCUAUUUUAUGGUGAGAGUGAUAAAUACACAAAAAAUGAAUUACUCAAUAAAUAUAAUAAACUUAUAUUUUAUUCUAUUAUAAAGUAUAAAAUAGAGUUGGGUUUGAGCUUUUUUAUUCUAAAUUCUAUUUUAGAAUGAAAUUAGUAUUUCUUAGUAAAUUUUAAAUAUACAUCAUUAUCAUCGAUAUAAAUUCAAUAGAAGAUAACAAAAGUAUGUCAAUAAUACAAAAGUCACAACAACAACAAAGAAAUAACAAGAAAAAUAUUGUAUGUGGUUGUGAGAGAAGAUGGUUGAAGAUAACACUGCGUAUUGCGUAAUCCGGUGAAGUUACCUCUUUGUGGUUCACAUCACUCCUUUGAACAAUUCACACUUCUCAUGAUCUGCCACUUGUCCAACUACAGCACCAAACAACGUAAGCUGCUCUGUGGAUGCCAUUAAGCCACCAAUGUUUCUUGUCUUCAAAGGGUAUUAGUAUUACUAUAUAAUUUCCAGAACGUUAGAAAAUUUGAAUAAUUGCCCGAGUCGGGCUCCUCUUGGCCCGUUAUGAUUCGAAGCUGCGUCGUUUUGCCCGCGCCGUUGACGCCGACCAAGCCUACUUUCUCGCCGCGCUUCACCUCCCAGGAGACGUCUUUGAGGACGGUUAGGCCUUUGUAGGUUUUGCUUAUGUUCUCGAGCUUGACGCCGGAGGAGACGCCGGAGGAGGAGUUUUUUCCGUUGUUUCGUUUGCGGUCGGAGUCUUGUUGGGACGUUGGGGUGGAGAAGAGUGAUUCGACGUCGUUUUGUUGCUCUUUUACGGGGGCGAUUGUGGAGAGUUGGGAUGAUCUGAUUGUGGCGGAG